This is a long non-coding RNA of Dermochelys coriacea (leatherback sea turtle), 288 nucleotides long. RefSeq lists it as uncharacterized. The transcript is spliced from 3 exons. NCBI's taxonomy places the organism in Eukaryota, Metazoa, Chordata, Testudines, Dermochelyidae. The record is from RefSeq and is a predicted model, not a curated record.
UCAUGAAAAUGAAUGGUUUGGCUUCACCCAAAAUGAUGGAUAAUCUUCCUAGAAGAGUGUGACAAUGAUGGACAGACAUCUUCUGUGUGAAGAGGGUGUUUAAAAUACCAAAGGAGAAACAAAAUGGCUAUCAGAAAAGGAACAGCAUAGGAAGAUGCAGAAGACACCAUGCAGAUGUUGUUUCCCGGGAGCCUGCACUUCAGUAACAGUCACUAAAAACCAAAUCCUGGGAAACACUACACAAUAGAACAAACAGGCCAUGUGCUUAGGGGGGAAAAUACAAUGUGC